CCGACAAGUGUUGGUACAAUGGCAACACCGAAAGGGUUCGGAACUUACAUGGGAAUCAGAAGAUGAAAUGCGAAAAUACUACCCUUUUCUCUUUGGUAUGUCAACAUUUAAAUUGUUAUGUACUCAGGUUUCGGGGACGAAACCUCUUUUAAGGAGGGUAGAGUUGUAACACCCCAAAAAUUUAUUUUAAUAUGAGAAUAGGUAAAAUCAUGAAAAUGCUUGAAUUAAACAUUAAACAAGAUUAAAGGGGGGUAAUAUGAAAAAUUUAUCACUUAAUAGGGAUAAAUUAUGUUUUAACUAAAGUUAAAACAUUCUGUACGUGGGGGGAUCGAUCAAGGGCAGGGGAGAAACAAGGUUUGUCACUCGACAUAUUAUUUUCGGCUUUUACGAUUUCAUUCAAUCGUAAUCACUACCCCUGAUUACGUCUACCUUGUUAGGCCUUAUAUAGGCCUCAUUCAAUCAUAAAAUAGGCUUUCAAACGACUCGGGGACUCGAAAUGCGAAAAAUGACAUAAAUUAAAAAGGUGGGUAAAGAUUGAAAUGUAAGAAUAUGAAUUCAGUAAAUGCAGACUAAUGAACUAUGAUAUAAUGAAAGGCAUGUAAUGGUGUUAAAAGAACCUCACGAAAUAAAUGAUGAAACGUAGAGAAUUAAAAACUUGCAAUGGCAUGAUUACAAACGUUGUAAUCAAAGGUUGAAGUAUGUGUUAUAUUGAAAGCUUGUGAAUUAUAAUUUUAGUUCCCGUACUUCUCAUAAAUGCCCGUUUUAUGUUUUUGUCAAGUUAAUAGAAGAUAUAAUAAGUUAUGUAAAGUUACGUUGAUCAUUGGCGAUAAGGUAAAAUUUAUAAAAGUCGAAUGUAACGUAUGGAAUGGCAUGAAAUGAAUGACACAUGUAUAAAGUGGAGUUGGAAAUGUAUGAUGAUGAAUAAUGAAGGAAGUAAAUAUAGACUAAAGUACUUAGAUAUGUGAAGGGACCGGAAUUUGUUAAUAAAUGAAUAUAAGAAUGGUGAGAAUAGUGGUGGAAGUAAAUUAAAGAAUGUGAGUUAGAUGGAAUUGGUAUGAAAAUUCAGAUGAAUGUAUGCUUUGAUCAGAAUUAUGCAUUAGAGGCUUGUACCUUGUACUUGAAUGGUGUGAUGCUUAUGUAUAUUUAAUUAUUUGCCUUGUUACGAUUAAGAGGCGAAUAUGUGCUAAAUGCGAAUCAUAUGAGCUUACUAGUAAAGGAUACGUUGGAAUUAUGUUAUAUAGUUAAUUUGAAUGAUAAUUACUAUUUGUAGAAUCAUGAAGCAUUAGCACGUGAAAGUACGUGAAAGUGAAUGCAUAUAUGUGUAUUGUUUCGAGGAUUACGUAAAUUGUAUGUAUGAAAUACGAAGAAUAUUAAUAUUACGGUCUAUCGUAUUUAGAUGAUUACAUGUUCAAAAGCUUGAAGUGUGUAAGCAAGACAGUUGACUAUCUAAGAGUCAACAUAAUAGGGAUAUCAUGAAAUGGUCAUUGGACACAAAUGCUAAAGUAAAGAGUUAAUGUAUUAUGUAUUAAGUGAUUUACGUGUUAUGCUUGAUGAUAGAUUAGUUGUAUGGAUUUGAAAUGAGAUAACUAUUAAUAAAUGUCUCGUUUAUACGUUAAUUGACUUUCGUUAGUACCUCUCGAUGACAUUGAGUUGGACAAGGGGUUGAAUUAUGUCGAAAUACCAAUAGCUAUUAACGAUGUCAAGGUAAAGAAGCUCCGCAACAAGGCGGUCCGACAAGUGUUGGUACAAUGGCAACACCGAAAGGGUUCGGAACUUACAUGGGAAUCAGAAGAUGAAAUGCGAAAAUACUACCCUUUUCUCUUUGGUAUGUCAACAUUUAAAUUGUUAUGUACUCAGGUUUCGGGGACGAAACCUCUUUUAAGGAGGGUAGAGUUGUAACACCCCAAAAAUUUAUUUUAAUAUGAGAAUAGGUAAAAUCAUGAAAAUGCUUGAAUUAAACAUUAAACAAGAUUAAAGGGGGGUAAUAUGAAAAAUUUAUCACUUAAUAGGGAUAAAUUAUGUUUUAACUAAAGUUAAAACAUUCUGUACGUGGGGGGAUCGAUCAAGGGCAGGGGAGAAACAAGGGUUACCUUGUUCUUGCAAGAAUUCACCAAUUGACAAGGAGAAAUCAAGGUUUAAUUGCUGCAUGUGCUGAAACUUCAAACAUCUAAGUAUAUCUAGUAAAGUGGUAAGCUGAAUUUUUGAUUUUGAUGAUGUUUACAAUUAGGGUUUCGACCCAAUCAUGGAAUUGUGAUAUGAUUUGUGUUGUUUAGAUGUUAAGGAUACUCCCUAGAGUAGAAAUCAUGCUUGAUUUUAGUUAAUUGAAAGAAAGCCUCUAAAAACCCACUUUGUGAAAUUAUGACUAUGAAUAUGGGGAUUAUAGGAAUGAUGAACAAAUGUAAUUUCACAUGUAAAUCAGCUUGUAGUACCCAAAAGCUAGUUAAAUUGAUGUAGAUAAAAGAGAUUGUAAGAAAUAGAUUGAGUAAUGAUGAUGUAUAGGAUGGAUUAGCAAGUUAUGCUUUAGAUGUUGUACACUAAGCUUUAUUAAGGUAACGCCUACUAGGUGCUCGAUGAAAUGCUUGAAUGAGUAGUUAUGUGUAAAUUGGAAAAAUGAUGGAAUGAAGUUUGGGUACUAAAUGAAUGAUUGAUCAUGUUGAUUUAGGUGUAAAGGAAGAAGGCUCGAAUUCUAAGAAGCCGGAAGGUUCACAAGACCGAGGUAAAUCCUCGACUUAGGCGAUUGGACGACUUGGAACGUGCACACAUGGUUUACGCCCGCUUCUCGCUUCCGUUGUUAAGCCCUUUUUGAAUGUUUUAAGUCUUGGUCUUAUGUAUUCAAGUCUAGUUAGUAUGUUGUCAUCUUUGUCGUUGGGUAAAAUUUGGUAGAUGGAAAUCAUGUCGUGACCAAUGUGGACUUGUUUGUUCGUUUUGGGUUUUUGUCAAAGAUGUUUAAUGUUUAAGUUUGGU
This 2964-nucleotide long non-coding RNA is filed under the name Helianthus annuus (common sunflower). RNAcentral's name for it is "hypothetical non coding rna". Lineage: Eukaryota; Viridiplantae; Streptophyta; Magnoliopsida; Asterales; Asteraceae. The record is from RNAcentral.